RNAcentral lists this unclassified non-coding RNA (4311 nucleotides) under Leishmania donovani. Its description in RNAcentral is "gene:LdHU3.24.0910(CDS-product:malic_enzyme_putat ive)". Lineage: Eukaryota; Euglenozoa; Kinetoplastea; Trypanosomatida; Trypanosomatidae. The record is from RNAcentral.
CAUUACUCGCGCCCACAGCCCCUCCCCCCUUCAUUCCUCCACCGCCUCUCCCCUCCUCCCUCUGCCCCCGCACACACGGUUACUGCGAAGCGCCAACUAGAAUGUCCCUCCAAAACGAUCUGCAGAGCAAGACGGCGUCGCAUGUGCACUCGCACUGUGCACAUGUCCUGACGAACCGCUACCUGAACCGCGGCACCGCCUUUACGACAGAGCAGCGUAAGAAGCUUGGCAUCCUUGGUGCCCUGCCGCCCACCGUCGAGACCCUCGAGAUGCAGAUUGAGCGUGCCUGGAUGCAGCUGUGCCGCUACGACAAGCCCAUCAACCGCUACCACCACCUGGUCAGCAUCCAUGCCACGAACACGACGCUUUACUACGCCCUCGUGCUCACCCACAUCGAGGAACUGCUCCCCAUCAUCUACACGCCGACCGUCGGCGAGGCCUGCCAGAACUUCAGCAACUACUGGGUGCGUGAGCGCGGAAUGUAUUUGAGCAAGUACCUCAAGGGUCACUUCUCUGAGGUGAUGAAAGAGUCCCUGUACGACAACGUCGACGUCAUCGUUAUCACCGAUGGCUCCCGCAUUCUCGGCCUGGGCGACCUCGGCGCCAACGGCAUCGGCAUCAGCAUCGGCAAGUGCUCCCUGUACGUCGCCGGCGCCGGCCUGCAUCCAAGCCGCGUGCUGCCGGUCGUCAUGGACGUUGGCACAAACACGGAACGGUAUCUGAACGAUCGCGAGUACCUCGGCACCCGCGAGAAGCGCCUCGAUGACGAUCAGUUCUACAGCCUGCUGGACGAGUUCAUGGAAGCUGUGAAGGACACCUGGCCCUCCGCUGUCGUGCAGUUCGAGGACUUCAGCAACAACCACUGCUUCGACAUGCUGGAGCGCUACCAAAAGAAGUACCGCUGCUUCAACGACGAUAUCCAGGGCACCGGCGCCGUCAUAGCUGCUGGUUUUCUGAACGCUGUCAAGAAGUCCGGCCUUGGCCCGCUGGAACAGCGCAUCGUCGUCUUCGGCGCCGGCUCUGCCGCUGUCGGUGUGGCGAAAAACAUCGCCCAGCUGGCCUCUCGCAUGUACAACGUGGACAUUGCUGAGGUGUUGAAGACGUUCUACCUGGUCGACACGAAGGGCUUGGUGAGUGACACCCGUGGUGACAAGCUGGCGGCGCACAAGGUACUGCUGUCGCGCAAGGACAUCUCGGCCGAGGACAGCCAGAACCUGAAGUCGCUCGAGGACGUCGUGCAGUUCGUGAAGCCGACGGCCCUGCUUGGCCUGGGCGGUGUCGGUCCUGUGUUCACGGAGGCUAUAGUGAAGAGCGUCGCCGCCAACGCUGCCCGCCCGAUCAUCUUUCCGCUGUCGAAUCCCACGAGCAAGUCGGAGGUUAUGCCGGAUGAUGCGUACCGCUGGACCAACGGUGCAGCUAUUAUCGCCUCCGGCAGCCCCUUUCCGGCCUCCACCAUCAACGGCAAGACCAUCAAGCCGUCGCAGGGCAACAACCUGUACGUCUUCCCAGGCGUCGGCCUCGGCUGCGCGCUGGUCCAGCCAUCCUACAUCCCGGACGAGCUCCUGGUGGCUGCCUCGGCGUGCCUGAACCUACUCACGACCCCGGAGCAGAUGGAGGUGGAGCAGCUGUACCCGCCGCUGGAAGACAUCCAUAACAUCUCUGCCCACAUCGCCACCGAGGUUAUCAUGGAGGCGCAGCGCCUCGGCAUCGACGGAAACAAGGACCUGCCGCGCGAGAAGGAUGCCAUUCUGGCGGCCAUAAAGACAUCUCAGUGGGUGCCGCACUACCCGGCAGAGCUGGACGUCAGCCUUCUGUGAAGGACGGCGGCUAGACGUCUGCACCGUGCGACUGUAGCGCUGAGCUAAGGCGGUGCCGCUGCUUGCAUGCGUGUAUAUGUGCUGUGUGUUACUGUGUAGUUGUAUCUGCUGUGUGCACGCGCAUCUGUCGCUCAAUGCUACCUAUAGGCCCUCCUCUCCUCUUCCUGCCCCGCACCCCGGCCUCACCUCCCCCUAUCGGCCCCUUCCAUGAACGCAUGGUUACGUGCAGUGCCUUCUUCUGCGCGCCUCUGUGUCGCUGCUGCCCUUCCUGCACAUGGUCGUGUGCAUGGGGGUAUUUGUCACUCUUCGGAGUUCUUCUUUACCGUUAUCCCCCUCCCCCUCCCCCUCCCCCGCCUCCUUUUUACUUUUUGUUUUGCUUCCGUUUUUUUUUUACUUGAGAUGGCGAUGCGUGCGUACGUGUGUGUGUGUGUGUACCUGCCUUCUCUUCCUUGAACCCCGACUCCACUCAUUCCUCUUUUCGGUUUUCGUUUUGGCUUUUCUGCGGACCUCCCCCUCUUCAUCUCCCUCUCCCUCUUUCGACUCCCCCCCCGUGAUCCUCCGGCUCCUUUCACUGGGCGCCGCCUCCGUCCUGUUGUAGUUGUGUGCCUCCUUGUAUGCCUGCGUUUUCUUCUUGGGGAAGGGGGUAUCCGCUUGCGGAUGUGCCGAUGCUCAUGCUGACGCGUUCCCUUACUUAGUGCGUGCGUGAAAUUUUUUUGUCGGGGAAGGGAGGGGGACGGAUCCUCACUCCACAUGAGGUUUGCCUGUGCGCGUCGGUGGGCGUCUCUCCCUCCCUCUCGCUCUGUGUGCGUGUGUGUUGGCCCCCUGCCGGGUGUCUCUUUCGGGUGUGCGUGUGCAUCUCGUUUCUUCCGUGCGAGGAUGUCGCACUCGCCCGCCAUGCCGUGUCCUGAGCGUCUCUCAACGAGCUCGUCUCUCCCCUUUCCACGCCUCAGACGUGUUGGCGCCACCUUUUCGCUCCGGCACACUGGAGACGGCCCCCUCCCCCUCUCCCACCCUCUUCGCUUAUCCCGGAUGUCGACAAAGUCAGGGGGACGUGAGUGGGGAGGUGGGGAGAGAGAGAGACCGACAGACAGCGGGGGGAGUGGAGUCACGCACCAGAGCGAGAGACAGGCAGAGAGGGAGAGGGGGCAACCAGAAAAGGAGCAACAACGAAAACACUAACACAAGAGUGAUCGGGUAUCUUUUUCGGGCGCUUGGGGGGGUAAUGAAAGGCAGGGCAAGGGGGUGGUGAAGAUGUGGAUGAGGGAGUGUGGUCGUGCGCGUCGCCCACAGGAGCACGCUCCCUCCUCUCCCCUCCCUCCCCUCUGCCCCUCCCUCCUCUCUCCCUCUUUCCCUGCUAUGGUUAUUGUCUCACGCAGGCACACCAGCACGCAGGCCCGGGGUGUCGCUCUCCUUCUUCGUCUUGUCGCGAUGGAGCCUGACACUUGCUUCUUCAUUGGUAUAUACUAUUUCUGUUUUCUGUUACUUUCGGCUUUGUGCGUGCGCGUGUACCCAUCUCUCCUCGCAUCCGGUGCGUGGCAGCUCAGGGUUCUGCACCCCUCCCCCCGCUCCCCACUCUCUCUCUGCCUGCGUGUGUUUAGAGGGUAGGGGGUAGCCAAGCCGCCCCCACCAUCUCUGGAGGUGGCAGGGUCAUGUGCCCACGGCGCAGGGGGAGGUCAGGGCGAAUUGAUCGCUGCUGAUGUUGGCCGUCAGGUUAUGCAUGGCGUUGCGUCGGAGAGACGCGCGAUUGUGAACGUGUUUGUAUCACCCGUGUGAUGGGCAACGUGCCAACGUAUUUGACCCCGAUUUCUCCCCACGCCCGCCCCAUCUGCGGGGUCACCGCAAAACCACCACAACACCGACAACUAAAGUACUUUGUUGUUUGUUUCUCCUCCUCAUGUACAGGACAACGCAAGAACGUAUGCAUACAGAAAUUGCGGAAAGAGAGAGGGAGACGCGUCAUCCGCAUCCCUCGCUCUUUCCCCUCCUCAUCAUCUCUCAACUGUGCGCACCACCAACGGAGGACCACUGCGCGCGGCAGAUGGAGACAGACAGACGUGCGUAAAAGAAGAAAUCAGCGAUAGCACACAAACAAAACGAAUAGCAAACAUUUUUUUUGUGGGUAAAGCGGCAGCCAACGAGCGAGUAUGUGUGCUUGUGUGUGUGCGUGUAUGGGGGAUGGAGUGACAAGAAAGGGGUGUGCGCUGCUCUGCAUCGAGAAAGGUGUCACGCGGCCGAUCUCCGGCCAAGUUGGAGCGGAAAACGCCCACAGCAACAGCACCAAUACGAUAUCUCAAGAGACGUUUUCACCGCGCAUUCGUCAUGCACAUGUAUCGCUGCACACCUCGCCUCCUGCUGCCCGGCGACCGCAGCCAUGUGUCCCAUGCGUCAUCCGCGUCCCUUCGCGCAACACUACGUGCGAGAGCAAGGGACAUAGAAUUCCACAUGAAAAUGCAAGCAAGGUGAUCUGUUUGAUGCUGCACAGUGGGGCAACAAC